RNAcentral lists this ribosomal RNA (426 nucleotides) under uncultured Gammaproteobacteria bacterium. RNAcentral describes it as "bacterial SSU rRNA". It matches the Rfam family "Bacterial small subunit ribosomal RNA", at positions 356 to 774 of the family's 1533-position model. The record is from RNAcentral. Lineage: Bacteria; Pseudomonadati; Pseudomonadota; Gammaproteobacteria.
GGGGAAUAUUGGACAAUGGGCGAAAGCCUGAUCCAGCCAUGCCGCGUGUGUGAAGAAGGUCUUCGGAUUGUAAAGCACUUUAAGUUGGGAGGAAGGGCAGUAAGUUAAUACCUUGCUGUUUUGACGUUACCAACAGAAUAAGCACCGGCUAACUUCGUGCCAGCAGCCGCGGUAAUACGAAGGGUGCAAGCGUUAAUCGGAAUUACUGGGCGUAAAGCGCGCGUAGGUGGUUCAGCAAGUUGGAUGUGAAAUCCCCGGGCUCAACCUGGGAACUGCAUCCAAAACUACUGAGCUAGAGUCUUGUAGAGGGGGGUAGAAUUCCAGGUGUAGCGGUGAAAUGCGUAGAGAUCUGGAGGAAUACCGGUGGCGAAGGCGGCCCCCUGGACAAAUACUGACGCUCAUGCACGAAAGCGUGGGGAUCAAACA